GCCCGCCCCUGAAGCUCUGGAAAAACAACAGAAGGCUGCAUGGAGAGGCCAGGAGAACACGCACAGACUCAGUGACCAGAGGGGCCACCAAUAGGUGACCCCAUCCCCGGGGGUCUGCUGUGCCCCGGCCUCGGUGCUGGCUGGGAAGAAACAGGAUGUCUCCAAACCGUGCCUCCUCCGUGGGAGAGGCCGGCCCCCUGCCCCGGCUCCCCAGGACCUGCCCGAGACCCUCCUGGGAUUACCCAGGACCUGCCCGAGACCCUCCUGGGAUUAAGUUGCAGUGUAUCCUGGUGGGGAUGUGCUGGCCCAGUGACAAAGGGGCCACAGCCUGAAGGAGCCCGGGACCCGAAGCCGUGCCCAGCCAGAUAAGCUGCAUGUGGUGGACGGCGGAGAGCUGACGGGUUGUGGGCCCUUUUCUGAGGACUAGGACCCCAGGAGGCGGUGUCCUCUGCUGCUCUGUUUCACGGCCCAGAGGCUCCUGGAGUGUGGGACACACGUGAGGAGGGGUGAAUGUCAGAACAGCCACCGCAGACAGGGGCUGAAAGUCAUGUGGCACCACAGAUCCCAGCUGUCCUCUGGAACUGAGAGCAGGGGACGGUCACAGCACUGGACUGGCUGACAGGGACGGGGGUGAUGGCCAGGCAGCAGCAUUUGACCAUCAGUGGCUGUGAAGGCAGCUCUCUAAUGAGUUGCAGGGCUGGAGCGGGCCCAGGGUCAGAGCUGCGUGGGGUUGUGGAGGUGGCUGAUAGAACAGCAUGUUCCUGGGAGAGGGACAGGCAGCCCACAAGAGACUGCUCAGCUUGUUGGAGCAAAAUAUAUUAGGGUUGUGUGAUGCGGAGGUCAAGGGUACUCGCUCCAAUAAAAAGUCAGGGCCGGU
RNAcentral lists this long non-coding RNA (877 nucleotides) under Homo sapiens (human). RNAcentral's name for it is "non-protein coding lnc-ALG12-4:1". Lineage: Eukaryota; Metazoa; Chordata; Mammalia; Primates; Hominidae. The record is from RNAcentral.